This is a non-coding RNA of Olea europaea var. sylvestris, 72 nucleotides long. NCBI's taxonomy places the organism in Eukaryota, Viridiplantae, Streptophyta, Magnoliopsida, Lamiales, Oleaceae. The record is from the annotation of a RefSeq genome assembly.
GUCGUUGUAGUAUAGUGGUAAGUAUACCUGCCUAUAACGCAGAUGACUCGAGUUCGAUUCCCGGCGACGACG